GGGAGGGUGGUAGGAGGCAAAUCAGGUUUAGAGCAGGCAAGGAGGAUUUGGAAAGUAGAACAGGACUGGCAGAGAGAAGGGUGGCUAUGGAGAGUGAAGAAAGCCUGAACAUAAGGAAUCUCAGACCAUUUCCCAUUGCGGUGGCAAAAGUUGUCUAAGUCUGUAAGCAUGUUGAAAUCAAAAGUGCCAUUUUCGGGUGAUUGGGAGCCAUUGUCCAAUUUGUAUUGAGGCCAGGCAGUAUUACGGUAGAAAAUAAGCCUCUUAGGAUGGACCCUUGAAUGGAGGCUGAGAGCAUUGAGGUUGUGCAAAAGAUACCCAAGGGGGGUGGUUUUAGGAGGGGUAGAAUGAGAAGCUCCCAUGGUAAAUAGAGGAGGGGGGUAGAGGAAGAAGAGACUGCCAGUUGACAAGGAUGGCAGGUGAGGGCGUCCCCUGUCCCACAAGCCCUGUCCGGAAUGUAGGAGGUAGCUGCCUCCUGAAAUGGAGAAACCAGAGGACUGGAGGCUGAAGAAAGCCCUUGGCUCAGCGCUGGGUCUUUUGGGAAUGCAGAGACAGUCAAGGGUUCCGGGUAAAUGGCAAGACUCUCUCUCUUACCCCUUUGGAGGCUCUGAAGGUGAAUGAAGUCACCAACAAUGGGAGAGUCUAGGAGAUCCUUUGGGCCUUCAGCAGGUUUGGGAAGGGGAGGGUGGCUAGCAGGGGGUGGCAGGAGAGGGGGAAAGGCACCUAGGCUCCAGCGCACAAUGACCAGCAAGCCUGGGAGGAGGGAGAGUGUGAGAGAGAGAGUGACAGAAAGUCCUCUAGGGACGCCCGGCCAGAGUCUACCUCUUCCCAGGUUUUGACACCAAAAUGUAAGGUUGGCCGAGAGAAAGGACAAGUAGACCCAAAGUCAGGCAAGUAAGUUUAUUAACCUACCGGGCUGGUCCACAGCAAUCAGAAGAGGUAGCCCUGAGCUUACAAAGUGAGGGGUUUAUGUGAGAUGAGAGGGGCUUAAGGGAGUUAACUUUGCCGCUAGAUAGUUUAUCAGUUAGGAACAGGCACAAAGGCAGUUUAUCAGUUUACCAUGAACUUGCAACACCUCAUCAUGUGACAUUUAUGGCGGCAGCUAGCUGAAAAACAGGAGUUCACAGGAAUGUGUAAUUAAGGUUUGUUCAUAUUUCCUAUGACCUCCCCCAUGCUGCCCAUAUGGCUGUAAUUAGGGUUUGCAUGCUGUACCAUGACUGCAAAUUCUACUGUGGCACCUAGAUAAGGGCUUAGGAAUGCAGCUGCAGAGUAUUCAGGGUAAGGGUAUCUGGACUCAUCCUGGGAAUUCGGUAGUAUUUUUUCCAUUUCACCAUUAUAAAUAGAAACUGGGGCUGAAACACUGCUUACAUUCCCAUUAUUGUGAAGGUGUAAAUCUACCCAUGAGGCCUGCAGGCUCUCCUCCUGCAGCUCAGGCCUCACUCUCUGAUGUGACACUAGAGUGCUGCUGUGGCAAAUGGGGUUCACAUAAAAUGUGAGCUGUGCUCUGGGCUGUGCCUCAGUAGCAAAUUGUAGAAGUCAACAGAGGACACUAGUAACCAGGAGAAAGCAAGCAGGAGUGCUGUAGCCCAGUGCCAGGGAGUGCAGAGACACUGCUCUAAAAUGUAAAUAGCCAAAUCAAGAUAGAACCCUAUUCAACCAUUUUUGUAGCAGAGUGAAAUCUUACCUUCAGCAGGCACCUGGCUUCAAGCUGCUAAGCUACCUCCUGCUAUGAAGAUGGGAAAAGUUUAUUUGUCAUUGAAUAUAAGCAAUUAGCAUACACAGAUGGCCUCUUCAAUCUCCAGAUGAAUUUAGGAUGAAUUAUGUAUGACAUGGUGCUGGAAAUUCUUCUACUUGUGGACUAAUUUUGGUGACCAUCCUUCUGUCUUUGCAGUCUCUUAAGCAGAUUGACUAUGAUGCAUGUCACAUUCAAGUUCAAUUGUGUAAUAAAAUGUUUUCUUUCUAUCUUAUUAUUGUGGAGUUUCUCUGAGGCUGGAGAAAAUUUUUCUUUUAAUUAUUGUUUCCAAGCAUGGUCUAGAAUUAGCAGACAUGAUAUAAACACAUAAGGUGAAAACCAGAAUUUACUCUAGAGGGGACUUUCCCUCUCAGACUUCCAGUCAACUCACACCUGUGCUACAAAGUGCACACUGUCCCCUAAAUAUGCAGGCAGAAUUGUGUCUCUGCCUAUAUGGUAUCUAUAAUCCUCUACAGUCACUUCUAGAGAGGUUAGGUCCAGAUUUCUACAAACUCCACGGGGCACCAAUCAAUCAUUGUAUCUUCAUACCUGAAACUGAUUCAGACACCACGGGGCCCAAAAACCCAAUCAGAGUAACAUGUGUGCAUUGAGUAGACAUGUAGACAGAAUCUCCACUUUCCCCUUCCUCCUCUUGCUGAAAUGCUCACAAAUCUGCAGUUAACACCCGCUGCUACUCCAGCCGUUCAGGUUCUAAAUCUGCAGCUCCAAAUUUUGAAUCCAGGUCUUGAGAUUUGGGAAAUAAAAAACUUUUAUCUGGAAAAUGCAAGUCCUUUGGUUAUCAAACUCAGAGAGACAUUAAAAUGCAAGUGUAGUUACGCCUGUCUUCCCCAUUUGAAAUAUGUAUUCAUCUCUUGAAACUGUACACUAUUGCCCCAAGUAGCUAUAAACUAAUAAUGCCACAUUGGACACUAUAUCCCGUACCCUAAACCAUAACCAUAUAUAUACAAUAUAUAUCUCAUCAAUAAUCAGUUAUUUCUGUAAAUAAAUAAAAAUUUCUAACAAUCAACUUUGUAUCAGCCCACUCUCUGUCCCUCUCUUGUUGUCAUUACAAAUCCUCUUGUAACUGCUGCUAAUCAAACUGUAGAUUCCAGGCAACUUGAAUCUUUGCUCCCAGGUUAUAAUUCUUAAGUUUGACCAAAAUAAAGUGUCUACUUAUAUUCAUGUUGUGUCAGCUUUUUCUCUUUUUUUCAUGUAGAUUUAUCAUUUAGAAUGUGCUAGAGCAGACUCUAUGAGGGGAUCUCUCCUUUGAUUGUGCUUCACUUUCUGUAACACCAAAGGAUGCAAAUCCAGGUGGAUCCUGCCUAGAAUCUGCCAAUAAGGUCUGGCCUCUGCCUUGGAUUUACAAAACAGGGCCGGACUUUUGAUUGAGAAUGUACAGAAACAAACAAAAGAUAUUUUCUGCGUUGUGAAAUGUAAACAUAGACAUAGCCUCCAUUUGGGAGUGUGGCUCUUUGAGAUUUUUCACAUCUUGUUCAUUGACCUGCUACAGUUAUGUGAGAGGCUCCAGAAGGAAAUAGAAUCUGAGGGCAGAAUCUGUCAGUGUAAAUAAGCAUCUUAGGAGUAAGAGAUCAAGGCCCCAAAGUAUCCAGAGCCAUGACCACAACUACAUUUACCUGUAAAAUGUGAUACUGGAGUAGAGUAUUUUUGUUCUUUCUUUCAAGAGCUAGAAAAUCAGAACAGGUGAUCCAGGUUCAGGAGCUCCACUAGGGCACUUCCAUUUUCUAUGUAGAAUCAGCCUAAGUCUCCAGCCUGGCUUAUUAUUGGGCCAUCAGCCCCAGAUCACUGGGAAUCUCUCACAAUCACCUAGGUGUCUUUGAGGCAUUUGAGGAUGUCCAGAUGGAGUCUCACUCUGUGUCCCAGGCUGGAGUUCAGUGGCAUGAUCUCAGCUCACUGCAACCUCUGCUGUCCAGGUUCAAGUGAUUCUCCUGACACAGCCUCCCGAGUAGCUGGGAUUACUGGCACAUGCCACUGCACCUGGCAAAUUUUUGUACUUUUAGUAGAGACGAGGUUUCACCAUCUCAUCAGGCUGGUCCUGUACUCCUGACCUCGUGAUCCACCUGCCUCAGCCUCCCAAAGUGCUGGGAUUAUGGGCGUGAGCCACCACAUCCGGCUGUAUAAUUUCUAUUUCUUUCACUUGUUAAGUGUACGAUAUUUAUUUUCCAAUAAAAUUACCCUAGAAAACCUUAAGGGGUUUGUUUAAAUUGCAUAUUAGUAUAUAGUAUAAAGUUGACAGGGCAGUGGCUAGAAAAUAUUUAAAUUACAGAAACUGUUGGAUUUAAGUUUCUUUUAGGACAUUUAGAAGAAACAAAUCUGGUAGUACCCCAGUGACAUAGAGAACAGAAUUCUACAUAGGGUCCUCACACUGCCCCAGACUUGUUUACAUAUAUUCUUUUUGAAGGCCUUAUUUAGGUCUGACCAUACCCUGGAGUCUUGCUCUCAGAACUGAUUAGUAGAGAUCAAGAGUUUUGGCUGGUGAAUCCUGCUGCCUUUCUAGAGCUGGUGCUCACAAUUUCCUGAAACCCAAAAGCAGAUGAAUGGGAAAAAUAAAGUAUGUAUUAUAGAGUCUUAGCUUUUAAGUUUUCUAUUAAAACCAGUGCUUGCAGAGACAUUCUAUUUAGCAACUUGUUUUCUAUUCCUGCAGAUCCAGUAAUUGCUCCCCAAGUAACAAAAAAGUAAACAUAAACAGAAUAAAAUUUUCUCUAAACUGCAUUAAACUCAUCCUUUCUAUAUCUUUUCUAUCUGUCUAUAUUUAGCUUUUAUUUCUUACAACUUUUUAAAAAAUUUGAUGACAGAGAAACAGAAGAAUAAAAAUGCUGGGCCCUUUAUCUAAAUCCUGAAAAUUCCUAAACCCUUAGUACUAGCUCCCAGGGUAUUAUGAGAAUUAAAUCACAUAAUGUGUUAUGCCCAGCACAGUGCUCUGUAUCAUACUCUUGAGCACAUAGUACUUGCUUAAUAAACAUUGCAGUAGUACAUGUGUACAUGUUGUUUUUUAAACCCAGACUUAUUCAAACAUUGCUGCCUUCUGUUUCCUCUAUAAACUUAAAGAGCCAGCAAAGAAUAUAAAACUUUAGGAUGGAGAUGGGUUGUCCUUAUUUGCACGACAAGUAUUUGGUUGUGAGAAGGGUGUUAAGUGUAAGGGACCCUGUGCUCUGCCUGCUUUCUCUAAUGCUAAUAAUGAGCCAAGGGGGAGCAACAUCAGCAUUGACAGGAGACUUGUUUAAAACACUCUUUCAUAAACCCUUUUCAAACCUGCAGAAUCACCUUACAUAAUGUGGGACCAAAAUUACCAAGUGAUUUAUACUUGUGCCCUCCCCACAGCUUCUGUUUAUUGUUCUGGGUGGAAGGAUCCAUGUUGUUUUAAUGAAGGGCCUCAUGUGACUCUAAGGUGAGGCCAGAAUCAAGUAUGAAGGCUUCAAAAUACAUUUUCGAGAGUUAAGUUCCACCUUUGCACUAAAGGGUGGUCACAGGGCCUGUUCUGUUUGGGUUUGGUAGGGACAGGUCAGUGUGGUGCAUAUUUCCAUUACUGUAGCAGAAAUUGCUGGAGUCUCUGGCAGGGGAGGGCACCUGAGGACAGGAAAGGAGAAGCUUAUAUUUUUGUCUUCAUGGAGCAGCUCAUUAUUCCUGAAUCUAUUCUGUUUAAAAGACAGCAGCAUAUUCUCCAUAUGCAGGUGUAACUUGUCCAGAGAAUCUCAUCUGAGAAGGAAUUCCAGAGGAGGAGGAGAAAGAAAAAAAUGGCUUUUCUUCAGGCUAGAAAAACUGGGAAAACACAGGCUCUACCACUUACUGGAUCUUUGACAAAAUAUCCUUAUUAGGCCAAAAACGUUAGCAUUACUGGUAAGCUUGUUAGAAAUUCAAAAAAUCAGCGGGGAGCCCUGGCUCAUGCCUGUAAUCACAGCAUUUUGGGAGGCCAAG
Molecule: long non-coding RNA, 5662 nt
Organism: Homo sapiens (human)
Lineage: Eukaryota; Metazoa; Chordata; Mammalia; Primates; Hominidae
Exons: 3
Source: RefSeq, a predicted model, not a curated record